UACGUAGGGGGCAAGCGUUAUCCGGAUUUACUGGGUGUAAAGGGAGCGUAGGUGGUUUCUUAAGUCAGAGGUGAAAGGCUACGGCUCAACCGUAGUAAGCCUUUGAAACUGGUAGACUUGAGUGCAGGAGAGGAGAGUGGAAUUCCAUGUGUAGCGGUGAAAUGCGUAGAUAUAUGGAGGAACACCGGUGGCGAAAGCGGCUCUCUGGCCUGUAACUGACACUGAGGCUCGAAAGCGUGGGGAGCAAACAGG
This 252-nucleotide ribosomal RNA is filed under the name uncultured bacterium. RNAcentral describes it as "partial 16S ribosomal RNA". It matches the Rfam family "Bacterial small subunit ribosomal RNA", at positions 524 to 776 of the family's 1533-position model. The record is from RNAcentral.